Erpetoichthys calabaricus (reedfish) is the source of this 234-nucleotide long non-coding RNA. RefSeq lists it as uncharacterized. NCBI's taxonomy places the organism in Eukaryota, Metazoa, Chordata, Cladistia, Polypteriformes, Polypteridae. The record is from RefSeq and is a predicted model, not a curated record. The transcript has 3 exons.
UACAAUGGCUCAUACAUAUGAAGUAUUGAUUGGAAUCAGCAUUGCAAUUGGGUUUGGAUUUCUUCUACUGGCAGGUCUGUUUUGGUUCCGUAAACAAAUUGAUAACUGUGUGGACAGUUUUUUGACUCUAUGGAUACCACAGGAAGCUGACCAAAAGGAAAGACAACAAAACUUGCCGAAUACAGAAGACAUUACCUAUGCAUCAAUAAGAUGGCUGUGAAAAAUUAAAUGCUG